Molecule: ribosomal RNA, 363 nt
Filed under: uncultured bacterium
Lineage: Bacteria
Description: bacterial SSU rRNA
Rfam family: Bacterial small subunit ribosomal RNA
Source: RNAcentral
AACGAACGCUGGCGGCAGGCCUAACACAUGCAAGUCGAACGCCCGUAGCAAUACGGGAGUGGCAGACGGGUGAGUAACGCGUGGGAACGUGCCCUUCGGUUCGGAAUAACUCAGGGAAACUUGAGCUAAUACCGGAUACGUCCGUAAGGAGAAAGAUUUAUUGCCGAAGGAUCGGCCCGCGUCGGAUUAGCUAGUUGGUGGGGUAAUGGCCCACCAAGGCGACGAUCCGUAGCUGGUCUGAGAGGANCAUCAGCCACACUGGGACUGAGACACGGCCCAGACUCCUACGGGAGGCAGCAGUGGGGAAUAUUGGACAAUGGGCGAAAGCCUGACGCAGCGACGCCGCGUGAGGGAUGACGGCCU